CCCUCCCCCCCUCCACGCCCCCAGGCCGGGUCAGGCUCCCACCCCGCGUGUCUUCCGAACGGCACCGUGCUCGUCUCCGGACCAAGGCAAGGCAGCCCAGCCCAGAAAAUUGGCUAAGUGAAGUCACCAGAUGAUGGCAUCCUAUGGUGCGCCUUGGGCAAAAACAGCAGCUCGGCAACGCGUCCGGGGCCAAAAACAGCAGGUCGGCCACGUGGUCCGUGAGCAGGCCAAGUCCCUGGAAAGCCGGCUUUCCUACGCGUGACCGAUAUGCGCCCGGGGUAGUUCGCCCAGGCGGCAGGGCUGAAAACCAGCGGUUCGCCCAGGCGUCGCAGCGGCUCGGCACGGCUUCCGUGGACAGGCCAAGUCCCCCGGGCCGACGCCGCCCGGUGGGCGGAAACAGUGGUUCGUCCUGGCGCCAGGGCUCAAAACCAGCAGUUCGGCAAGGCGGUCCGUGGAAGACAGGCCAAGUCCCCGGGCCGACGGCGCCCGCGGGGCGGAAACAGCUGUUCGCCCUAGCGCCAGGGCCGAAAACCAGCAGUUCGCCCAGGCGCCGGAGCUGAGACGCAGCGGUUCGGCAGGGCGUCCCGCGGAGAGGCCAAGUCCCCGGGCCGACGGCGCCCGCGGGGCAGAAACAGCGGUUCGCCCUGGCGCCAGGGCCGAAAACCAGCAGUUCGCCCAGGCGCCGGAGCUGAGACGCAGCGGUUCGGCAGGGCGUCCCGCGGAGAGGCCAAGUCCCGGGCUACGCGGCAAAGUGUGCGUGGUUGGAUGGAUGGAUGGAUGGAUGGGUGGGCGGUUGGCUGGAUGGAUUGGCGGGUGGAUGGCGAGUAACGCACCACGCAUGACGGAUAUGCCUCACAAGGUCAUGGGAGAAGGAGCAGCCCAAGUCCCUGGGAAAGCCGGCCUUCAUACGUGCAUCGAGGUGCACACGGCGCAAAAACUGCAGUUCGGCAUGGUGUCUAGGUGAAGGGCACGGUGAAAACGAGCCAAAAAGGGCGAAAACGACCAAAAAAACGGGCCAAAACGGGCCAUGGACGGCCCGCGGGUCCCCGGCCCACCGAGGUGGCCCACGGGGCCCAAGGGACCCACCCAUGGUGGCCCCACCCAAAAAGUCCAAGGUUCGGUCCAUCCACGGAAAACGACUUUCGGGCGCCUCCGGGGCGGAAACCAGCGUUUCUGAGCAAAAACCAGCCAAAACUGCAUAUCACAUGGAUUUCCUGAGGUCCUCCAAAACGUGUGAAGGAACCAUACAGAAAACUGCAAGAACUCCUGGGGGGGCUGGAUGCCCCUCGGGUAUAUUAGGGGAAGAGGGUUCGGUUGGAGGAGACCUCGGGUGAAAUGGAAGAAAACCACAAGGUUUUUGAUUCCAUGUUUUCGUGAGGCUCCUCCAUAAAGUCGGUCACGUAUCCCCCGGCCUCCGUGGUGGGCCGACGACCGGCUGUGGCUAGCUUCGGCUGGCUGCAGCUGGUUGUUGGCUGGCCAUGGCUGGCUGGCAUGCGGCCUUCGGUGGCUGCAUGCUAGUGACCGCACUGGGAGAAGUUUUGGCGUCGCGUGACCUCCGUGGCUGGCUUGUAGCCUACGGCGGCCUGCUUCGGCGGGCUGCUAUGGGCCGCGGGCUGGCUCGGUGGGCAGCGUGUUGUUGGAACGACUCCCGGCCUCCCUGGCUGGCUGGCUGCCUACGGCGGCCUGCUUGGGUGGGCUGCUGCGGGCGACUGGCUGGCUGGGACGGCUAGCGUGUUGUUGGAACGGUUUCGGUGACUUGCGGCCUCCUUGGCCGGUCGGCAGCCUGCGGUGGCCUGCUUCGGCGGGCUGCUUUGGGUAGCUGGCUGGCCAGGGUGGCUAGCUUGUUGUUGGAACUGUUUUGAUGAUGCGCCGGCUUCCUGGCCGGGUGGAAGCUGCGGUGGCCUGCUUUGGCGGGAUGCUGUGGGUAGCUGGGUGGCUGGGGUGGCCAACGUGUUGUUGGGAUUGUUUCGGUGACUCGCAGCCUCCCUGGACGGUCGGCAGCCUGUGGUGGCCUGCUUCUGCGGGCUGCUGUGGGCAGCUGGCUCCCAUGGGAGGAAGCUUGUUGCUGGAACGGUUUUGGCUGCACGGUUUCUCGUGUUGUUGGGAUUGUUUCGGUGACUUGUGGCCUCCCUAGACGGUCGGCAGCCUGCGGUGGCCUGCUUCUGCGGGCUGCUGUGGGCAGCUGGCUCCCAUGGGAGGAAGCUUGUUGCUUGAACGGUUUUGGCUGCACGAAUUCUCGUGUUGUUGGGAUUGUUUCGGUGACUCGUUGCCUCCCUAGACGGCCGGCAGCCUGCGGUGGCCUGCUUCUGCGGGCUGCUGUGGGCAGCUGGCUCCCAUGGGAGGAAGCUUGUUGCUGGAACGGUUUCGGCUGCACGGUUUUGGCCCGCUGUUGGAUAAGUUUUGGUUUCUCGUGCUGUUGGGAUUGUUUCGGUGACUCGUGGCCUCCCUGGACGGCCGGCAGCCUGCGGUGGCCUGCUUCUGCGGGCUGUUGCGGGCAGCUGGCUCCCAUGGGAGGAAGCUUGUUGCUGGAACGGUUUCGGCUGCACGGUUUUGGCCCGCUGUUGGAUAAGUUUCGGUUUCUCUCGCGCUCUGUGGACCCUCGGUUGCCGUCCUCGCAAGCAGACUCACCGUGCCUAGCGCGGAGGGAUGCUUUGGAUGGCUUAAUCGUCGUGGCUACGCUGGCGCAUGAGUUGUUUUGGACCUGUGACUGCUUGGAGGACCCCCGUCGGUGUGCGGCCGACUCCUAGCGCCAGUGUCCCUUCAUUCGUGCGGGCACCUUUUGCCUACUGCAUUGACGAGUGCUUGCGUGCUGCUACCUGUCCCACGGGAAGUUGCGUUCGGUUACAUGUUGCCUUCGUUGAGCGCACCCUCUGGGUGUGGCUCGUCGGCUCUAGAGCACUUGCGGCGUUGCCUCGUGAUGUCGUCCUCCUAGGGUGGCACCGCCAAGGGCACCUCGCUUGUGCAUUUGGUUGCGGAUGCGGCUGAUGCCGAAGGCCGGAGGGCGUUGGCCUCCCGUGCCUAAAAAUCGAGUCCGUUUGGAAACAACGACAGCCAGCCCGGCCGAUGCCUCGUGCGGAGGUCGGUGCCGGCUCGUCGGCGAGGACGUGC
Molecule: unclassified non-coding RNA, 3108 nt
Filed under: Saccharum spontaneum (wild sugarcane)
Lineage: Eukaryota; Viridiplantae; Streptophyta; Magnoliopsida; Poales; Poaceae
Description: partial miscellaneous RNA
Source: RNAcentral